UCUCAGGCCACCUCACUGUCUUGCCCUGAUU
RNAcentral lists this non-coding RNA (31 nucleotides) under Rattus norvegicus (Norway rat). Lineage: Eukaryota; Metazoa; Chordata; Mammalia; Rodentia; Muridae. The record is from RNAcentral.